UCUGGUAAUAAUGGCGAGAAGGUCACACCCGUUCCCAUACCGAACACGGAAGUUAAGCUUCUCAGCUCCGAUGGUAGUUGGGACUUUGUCCCUGUGAGAGUAGGACGUUGCCAGGC
Molecule: ribosomal RNA, 116 nt
Filed under: Neobacillus sp. YX16
Lineage: Bacteria; Bacillati; Bacillota; Bacilli; Caryophanales; Bacillaceae
Source: RNAcentral